UACGUAGGGUGCAAGCGUUGUCCGGAAUUAUUGGGCGUAAAGAGCUCGUAGGCGGUCUGUCGCGUCGGCUGUGAAAACCCGAGGCUCAACCCCGGGCCUGCAGCCGAUACGGGCAAGCUAGAAUUCGGUAGGGGAGACUGGAAUUCCUGGUGUAGCGGUGAAAUGCGCAGAUAUCAGGAGGAACACCGGUGGCGAAGGCGGGUCUCUGGGCCGAAAUUGACGCUGAGGAGCGAAAGCGUGGGGAGCAAACAGG
RNAcentral lists this ribosomal RNA (253 nucleotides) under uncultured bacterium. Its description in RNAcentral is "partial 16S ribosomal RNA". It matches the Rfam family "Bacterial small subunit ribosomal RNA", at positions 524 to 776 of the family's 1533-position model. The record is from RNAcentral.